Non-coding RNA from Zonotrichia albicollis (white-throated sparrow), 5697 nucleotides. Lineage: Eukaryota; Metazoa; Chordata; Aves; Passeriformes; Passerellidae. The record is from RefSeq and is a predicted model, not a curated record.
UUAAAAGUACAAUUAUGUGAUUAAAAAAUAAUGGCAACAUUGUUCGCAGAUCCUCUUUGGGGUUCACACCAUUUUGGGAAAGAAUUUGCAUGGCUCUGCUGCUUGCCUCAGCUGGAGGGCUGGCUCAACCAUCAGGCGUCUCGGGAGGACGUAAUGUGGUCUCAGCCCCUCUCUGCCCACUCAUCUCCUUACCACCAUGGAGCAAUCUCCUCUCCCUGUCUGUCAGCGCAGAGGUGGAGGAAUGGCCAAGGUGUGCAUCUCAAGAAAACUUCCCUUCCAGCACUCAUCCCUUCCUUUUUCAAGGUGCACGUUGACUUUGUGAGUGUGCUGUAAACUUCCCUCUCUUGGUGGGAAGGAGAUGUGAAGAUUUAGGGGAAAAUGGCUUGACUGAAGAAGGAAAUGGUAUUAGGAGUGGACUUUGCACCACCCAACUUCAAAUGCUUAAUUUAGAAGUUUCCUUAGUCUCCCUCCCAGCACAACAUGAACCAUAAGGCUCCUCAGGAAGGCAGGGACACCUCUGCCAGGGACCUGCCCUCUCUGGGACCUGCUGUCUAGGUGGCCAGGCAAGGUUAGCCUCUAAAUCCAAGCCAAUAACUAAAGUCACUCAGCAAACCUUAUUGCACAAUUUCCUGAUAAAUUGAAUAUCAUUACUGGAUCCAGCAUAAACUGGACUUCCCAUGCCUGGAGGUGUUUAAAGCCAGGUUGGAUUCAGCUCUGAGCAACCUGGCCCAGUGGAAAGCGUUCCUGCUCAUGGUGGAGCUUGGAAUGAGAUGAUCUUUAGGGUCCCUUUCAUCCCAAACCAUUCCAUGAUUCUAUGAUUAACAUGCCAACAUGCAGAUCACAAAAAUACAACAUGUCGUAUAAAGAUGUCUUUAAGUGUUUGAAGAAUGCCAGCAACAUUUCAGAGUAUUUCUCAAUAUUGUCAGAAUACAGUGAGAACAGAAGAGUUUGAAACAUGGCAUUGUAGCUGCAGAAAAAAAUAAUAAAAAUGAAAAAGUCUUUAUUACUUGGCAAAUUCCAGAGAGCUAUUAUAAAAGAAAGACUUUUUCAACAAAAUGUUAUUUAACUACUGACACUGAAAAAGAAUUUUUAAAAAAUCCCUUUCCAUUCCUGUGAAAAAGAUGAGGCACUGGCAGUGCCCUCAUGCCACCAGUGAUGGCUCAGGUGACUUUACCACAGACUCAUAACACAUGGUCUGAACAAAGGGUCUUUUGUAGCAAACAAGGAUAUGCAUUGUAACUCACAUUGUUCAUCCUAGAUAAAUUCAACAGUCACUUUGCAUCUGUGUCAUUUAUUACACAAGCUAUUUUAUUUACUGCUGAUGCCUUUUAAAGGAGGUGCUAACACAGAGCUACCCUUGCUUCAGCAUCUUGAUAAUAAUAAGCUUGAAUAAUUGCCAUAUUUCUCACCUUUCUCAAUACACCCAACUCUGUUUUGAAGCUGCUAAGUCUGACAGGAAAAAACACUCACAUAAAAUCUGUUCAGAGCCAGGAUCUACUUCUUUCAGACUAGGCUGUUUUGACUGCUAAUUUGCUUUUACUCUACUGCUUUAACUCUCUAAAUCUUGACAGUUUCCUUGAAUUUUAAAAUUUUGGUGGAAAAAUAGCAUAUAUCCCAGCAAGAGGUACAACUCAUGUGACUGCAAGAUGAAGGCCUGUGGCAGGCCUUAGGUGAGCAGACAUCUUGAACUUAGUGAACUAUGCAGCCUCCAUUUGCUUCUGAAAUGCAGGGGAGAAUCACCAAAAAGCUGGUAGGAGCAGCAAGGGAAGCAGGGGGCUUAGGAGGCUGCUGUUACCAUUUUUUAUUACUUGCUGUACAGUUGGAGAAUCACACAGUCCCAGAAUGGUCUGGGGUGGAAGUGACCUCAAAGUCCAUCCAGUCCCACCCUGCCAUGGCAGGGACACCUUCCCCUGUCCCAGGCUGCUCCAAGCCCUGUCCAACCUGGCCUUGGACACUUCCAGGGAUCCAGGGGCAGCCACAGCUGCUCUGUGCCAGGUAUUUCAUUGUCUGGGCCAGCAGGUAGAAAUUCAGCCCCAAUGUUGUUCAUGUGACCCAUAAAUACAGUCUGAUGAGACUCUAACAUGAGCAGACACAUGAGCUACAAAGCAGUUUCAAUUCUUUUCCUUCUCAUUAUUUUCUUACAGGUGUAUUUUCCAUUUAUAAAUUAACUACCUGGAGCAACCCACAAUGGGGUUGCAAUCAGCAAGUGUUUCUGGAAAUGCUAACUAUAAGUGAAAAAUAAUUUUAAAUUAUAUAACAGAUUUUGUACUUUGUAUCUUUUAGUUUGUUUCUCUGCAUGCCAACAUUAUAUUGGCAAGAUUAUGUAUAAGACAUUUUAAACACAGGCUCACAUUUCCUCCUGAAUACAGAAGUCUGAGCAUAACCUGCACUAGCAGUACAGAGCAGCAAGAGAAUUCAGCAAAGAGGUACCAUGAUGCAAUAGACAAGCAGAUGAUCCUUCCUGCAGCAGGACUUCAUUGUCUGGUUAUGCAAGCGUGAACGAGAAGCUGAGGAAAAUGCCAGAAGCCUCUCAGGCAGGCUGGGGAGGCACAGGAAGGAGCGCCCAGUGUAGAGCUGGCCACCACUACCACCGACUGACCACACAAUGUAUUGCUUGUGCUCUCACUGAGCUGCCUAAAGGGAUGCCAGCACCAAAAAUUCAUAUUUUCUGAAGCUGCAACUAACAUUUUUAUUCAUUAUUCUCUUGAUAUUAUUCAUUUUUAGCAAAAUUAGAGCCCAGAAUCAAUGCUAAAAAACUGGGGUAUUUUUGUCUUUUUGAUCAACUCCACUUUUUUUUCUAUGUCAGGAAUUAAAUUUUUCUUUAAAUACAUGAUUUAAGGAAAAUUACUUAACAUAUCAGUAUAUGCUAUCAUAUGUAAAUCACUGACACAACAAUUUAUAAUCAACUAAAAAGAUACAAAUUUUUUAUUUAAUUACCAAUAAAAUCUAUGUACUUAAGACCACCCAAAAUUUUUAUGUAGGCUUGGGGGCUUUUAAUACUUUAAAAUAUAUUUUUUUCUAAGUAGUUCACUAAAUACAGCAUCUGCAACACAAGGCACAAAACACUAAUCACAAAACUGACUGUAAAUAAAGUAAAAAUUGUUAAGUGAAAAUAUUAAGUGAAGACAAAAAAAUAACCAGCAAGGAGUACACUAAUCACAAACUCUUAUAACUUGGUUUUUUUUACAGUCAGGUUGCUGGCUUGUUUAACAGCUUUGCAUUGACACUGUGCACUCUAUCAGAAGGUUCCAAGCUUGGCCAGAGGUCUGGAGGUGCUGCUAAAUGGCUCCUUAGUUCCUAAAAUCAUCAUGCUAAUACAUAACAUCCUACAGCAUGUCUCUACAGAAACCCAGCAACCCUGAGGUGUUCACAUCAUCUGUUCCUCAGUCCUCUGCAAAGAGGGCUCUUUUCAGUGGAAUCCUAAUCAACCCAGAGUUUUACUCUGCCUAGUAAAAUGACAUCUGUGUGCUGUGAUGGCACUUGGAAAAAGAAAAAUGUGGAGGAAAAACAAGAUUUGAAGAAGAGCUUGAGAAAAUCCCCAGCAAAUUUAGGGAAAAGAGUAAAUUACUCCAGUUGCCUGUUCAGAUCCCCUUGUCUGUUUGUUUAUUUGGAAUAAUGGGCUAAAAAUCAAAUACCCUCUACUCUUACCUGGAAAAUAUUUCAAACGGGCUUCCCUCUGUUACAUUACCAUUACCACUCACUGUCUCAGAGCUGGUAACAAUACAGUUAUUGACAUGUUUGUCAGAACCACUCAGAUCUAUGGGGAAAGAAACAGCAGCAUCUAACAUUCAUGAUUUAACUAACAGAAGCAUUCUCAGUCUCAGAUCCUAGAGAUGUCACUUCCACAGAGCUCAGCUCUCUGCAGCACCUUUCCUUGCCAGCCUUCCAAGACUGCACAAAUUGGGUCCAUCACCACACCAGGUGCCUCCAACUCUUCUGAGAUGAAGCAGUGGUGAAAGAGGUCCUUUCCCUUGGGAACACUUUUAUAUGGUUUUAAAAACACCUUUCACACAGCCUGAAAAUGCUGCAGGUGAAAAGGGAGGAACUAAACCACAAAGGAACCCUAAAGCUUUGUAAAAAUCCUUCUUAAAUUACUACUGUUACCACACAAGCAUGUUCAGAGUUGCAUGCACUGGUCAUGAACUGCAACCAGUCCUAAGCACCCUAACAGAGAAAAUGUAUGGCCAAGGAUGGAAAAAAACCAAUUUGACUCUUUUUGCACAGGCUAAUUUCUAGUGGCUGUUACAGAUGCAGACAGGAAUCCAUGAGUGCAUAUCCAUUUCUUGAGAGAAAAACAAGGGUCACUUUUCCCUCUAAAGUUGCUGCCCAGUGUUCCAUAGAUGAUAUGUCUGGUGGAUGCUACCUAGUGCAGUGUAUUGCAGUUAGAAUGUUCUCAGUAUUUGUCCAGUUUUCCUUACAGAAAUACUUUACCUGUUUUAACUGACAGCAAUUUCUGUCACAUUUAGCUGUGACAUCAGUUUCAAAGCUGAUUAUCUAGAGAAGAUAAUCUCCUAAAAAUGCAAGUUAGUAUUCUGGCAUUAAAGAAAUUACAGUACAGACUGCAUUAAUAUCACAGCCAGGGAUAAACCAGACUCCUGCUCUGGUUGGCUUUUAUGAAGAGUAGAAUAUAAGUAGGAGGCUACACCAUGAACACAGAAGCAAAAUCAAAUUGAAUUUACAAAGUAAGAUAAUAAUAAUGAACUUGACCAGACGCUGUGUUUUAAUUACAUAGAAAGAAAUGUGUUUAUUAGUUUACUCAUUAUUUGGGCUCUGAAUGCAGCCUGGCUGUGAAUGCAGCCAUAAGUUAACUGAAAAAUAUAGGCAUGAAUUGACUAUUUUCUAUUUUUUUCCCCAAGUAUUUUUAGCUGAUGAAUAGUUCAGGAUAAGUAAACUACGCCAGAUUCUGAAAAUGGCUCAUUCCUGGCAGCUAUCAAUAGCAGUAUUCUAGACUCUACGGAGUGCUGAGAAGAUCUUCACUGUCAAUCUGACUAUGUGGGGAGGAAAGGCAUAUCCAACAUCUCUCCUGAGGCCCCUGGAAAAUCAGGCAGACAAAAAAAUCCAGAUUUUUUAUCUGAGUCACCAAAUCAGUCCUGAAUCUCCAAGGAGAGAUGUCAAAAAUGGUUUAGGUACCAAAACAAAAGAACCCCAAACAAACAAUUUAGUUGGCAGGGAAUGGGGAAGAUAAAAAGCUCCCAAAGUUCAAUCUCUGCAGAUGGACCUUCUCUCCCUCUGCUCCAAGAUCCACCAUGUGAAGUCAUAAAAGUCAUAGGCAGCACCAUAUGAUAUUCCUAAACAUUUUGCUCUCUGAAGCCCCAUUGCUCUUUAGUUUGUAGCAAAUGCCUGUGCUAAGGUUAUCACCAUCAUUUUCAAGUUGAAUGGAGAGAUACGGUCCUGAUGUCAAUACUUCUAAAACAAAAUUCCUAGCAAACACAGAGUGAUACCUUAUGGCUGUAGAGAAACAACAAACUUUUAAGACUAUAUUACAUAUUCAGUUGAAGAGUAUUUUUCUGAAAUAUAUUUACUAUCUAGAAGAACAGUAUUUCAAGAUCCUUUUAAAAUGCAUAAUUUUCCUUCUGAGUCUUUAAAAUACUUUAAAUAAUAAUAAAAUAACAUCAAAUAAAUAAUCCCAAAAUGCAUCUCUGAUGAGAUGGGGAAAAGUAAUGAAUAAUAUCUCUCAGGGACACAAAUAACAUUCCA